This is a long non-coding RNA of Aphis gossypii (cotton aphid), 680 nucleotides long. RefSeq lists it as uncharacterized. The record is from RefSeq and is a predicted model, not a curated record. NCBI's taxonomy places the organism in Eukaryota, Metazoa, Arthropoda, Insecta, Hemiptera, Aphididae. The transcript has 6 exons.
CAAAUGUGACAAAUACGUGUUUUAUUCAAAAUAAUAUACUUUUUAAACUAGUAAACAAAAAACUAUAUUAAUAGGUACAGAUGAAAAAAAUAAACUUGAUACACCUAAAACCUAAGUGUAAUCGUGGAUACGUUAAACAAGUUUAAGUAACAUUGCAAACUGCUGAAUAAAAAAAAAUCAAAGAACACAAACCAGUACAUACUACUCAUUUCUUCGUCAAAGAAAGAAUAGAAAUAGAAUAAGAAUGUUCUCUAAAAACCAUCGCUAAUAUUACUCUUGAAGCUAUUAUGAUUUAAUUUUAAAACAACCAAAUAAACCCGAAUAAAGAAGUUUGAGGAGGAGGAAAAAGUUAGAUGAAAUUGAAAGUUGCAAAAUACAAUAUGAACAAUUAGACAAACUAACAGAUGUUUCUAAUCAAAAUCGUAUUAAGUAUUGUAUACAGUUUGGCCUAAAUAAUGAAAACAAUAAUUUUGUACCAUAACACUUGUCAAAUACAACAUUGGGGAGUCUAACGAAAGCAGUCAAAUAAAUACCUUGAAAUACACGGGAAAAAAUGAACGAAUUCGAUACAGAUUUUUUAGCAACUCCCAUAAUUAGAAGAUCUCCAGACAAUUUAUUAGCAGUGAUUAUUGCAGUUGAUAAUGUAGAAACUACUUAUGUAGUGUACAACAAAUGACAUA